UACGUAGGCAGCAAGCGUUGUUCGGAGUUACUGGGCGUAAAGGGUGCGUAGGCGGUUGUUUUAAGUUUGGUGUGAAAUCUCCCGGCUCAACUGGGAGGGUGCGCCGAAUACUGAAUGACUAGAGUGCGGGAGAGGAUAGUGGAAUUCCUGGUGUAGCGGUGAAAUGCGUAGAUAUCAGGAGGAACACCGGUGGUGGUAGACGGGCUAUC
RNAcentral lists this ribosomal RNA (209 nucleotides) under uncultured bacterium. Its description in RNAcentral is "partial 16S ribosomal RNA". It matches the Rfam family "Bacterial small subunit ribosomal RNA", at positions 524 to 729 of the family's 1533-position model. The record is from RNAcentral.